RNAcentral lists this transfer RNA (105 nucleotides) under Candida albicans P76067. Its description in RNAcentral is "tRNA-Asn". It matches the Rfam family "tRNA". Rfam says of the family: Transfer RNA (tRNA) molecules are approximately 80 nucleotides in length. Their secondary structure includes four short double-helical elements and three loops (D, anti-codon, and T loops). Further hydrogen bonds mediate the characteristic L-shaped molecular structure. tRNAs have two regions of fundamental functional importance: the anti-codon, which is responsible for specific mRNA codon recognition, and the 3' end, to which the tRNAs corresponding amino acid is attached (by aminoacyl-tRNA synthetases). tRNAs cope with the degeneracy of the genetic code in two manners: having more than one tRNA (with a specific anti-codon) for a particular amino acid; and 'wobble' base-pairing, i.e. permitting non-standard base-pairing at the 3rd anti-codon position. Lineage: Eukaryota; Fungi; Ascomycota; Pichiomycetes; Serinales; Debaryomycetaceae. The record is from RNAcentral.
GACUGGGUGGCCAAGUUGGCUAAGGCGUGAGACUGUUACCAAGAAAACAUUUACCGUGUUUCCUUCGACAUCUCAAGAUCGAGAGUUCGAGCCUCUCCCUGGUCG